GAUGAACGCUAGCGACAGGCUUAACACAUGCAAGUCGAGGGGCAUCAUGAGGUAGCAAUACCUUGAUGGCGACCGGCGCACGGGUGAGUAACGCGUAUGCAACCUGCCUGAUACCGGGGUAUAGCCCAUGGAAACGUGGAUUAACACCCCAUAGUACUUUUAUCCUGCAUGGGAUGUGAGUUAAAUGUUUAAGGUAUCGGAUGGGCAUGCGUCCUAUUAGUUAGUUGGCGGGGUAACAGCCCACCAAGACGAUGAUAGGUAGGGGUUCUGAGAGGAAGGUCCCCCACAUUGGAACUGAGACACGGUCCAAACUCCUACGGGAGGCAGCAGUGAGGAAUAUUGGUCAAUGGACGAGAGUCUGAACCAGCCAAGUCGCGUGAGGGAAGACUGCCCUAUGGGUUGUAAACCUCUUUUAUAAGGGAAGAAUAAGUUCUACGUGUAGAAUGAUGCCUGUACCUUAUGAAUAAGCAUCGGCUAACUCCGUGCCAGCAGCCG
This 495-nucleotide ribosomal RNA is filed under the name uncultured bacterium. Its description in RNAcentral is "bacterial SSU rRNA". It matches the Rfam family "Bacterial small subunit ribosomal RNA", at positions 28 to 517 of the family's 1533-position model. The record is from RNAcentral.